CCUACGGGAGGCAGCAGUGGGGAAUAUUGGGCAAUGGAGGAAACUCUGACCCAGCGACGCCGCGUGCGGGAUGAAGGCCUUCGGGUUGUAAACCGCUUUCAGUAGGGAAGAAGCGAAAGUGACGGUACCUACAAAAGAAGCACCGGCUAACUAUGUGCCAGCAGCCGCGGUAAUACAUAGGGUGCAAGCGUUGUCCGGAAUUAUUGGGCGUAAAGAGCUCGUAGGUCGUUUGUUACGUCGGAUGUGAAAACCUGAGGCUCAACCUCAGGCCUGCAUUCGAUACGGGCAAACUAGAGUUUGGUAGGGGAGACUGGAAUUCCUGGUGUAGCGGUGGAAUGCGCAGAUAUCAGGAGGAACACCAAUGGCGAAGGCAGGUCUCUGGGCCAAUACUGACACUGAGGAGCGAAAGUCUGGGGAGCGAACAGGAUUAGAUACCCUGGUAGUCCAGACCGUAAACGGUGGGCACUAGUUGUGGGAACCUUCCACGGUUUCUGCGACGCAGCUAACGCAUUAAGUGCCCCGCCUGGGGAGUACGAUCGCAAGNUUAAAACUCAAAUGAAUUGACGGCUGAGAGNGCGAGCGACACGAGGAGAGG
RNAcentral lists this ribosomal RNA (595 nucleotides) under uncultured bacterium. Its description in RNAcentral is "bacterial SSU rRNA". It matches the Rfam family "Bacterial small subunit ribosomal RNA", at positions 338 to 944 of the family's 1533-position model. The record is from RNAcentral.